CGAAUGCUGACAUAAGUAACGAUAAAGCGGGUGAAAAGCCCGCUCGCCGGAAGACCAAGGGUUCCUGUCCAACGUUAAUCGGGGCAGGGUGAGUCGACCCCUAAGGCGAGGCCGAAAGGCGUAGUCGAUGGGAAACAGGUUAAUAUUCCUGUACUUGGUGUUACUGCGAAGGGGGGACGGAGAAGGCUAUGUUGGCCGGGCGACGGUUGUCCCGGUUUAAGCGUGUAGGCUGGUUUUCCAGGCAAAUCCGGAAAAUCAAGGCUGAGGCGUGAUGACGAGGCACUACGGUGCUGAAGCAACAAAUGCCCUGCUUCCAGGAAAAGCCUCUAAGCAUCAGGUAACAUCAAAUCGUACCCCAAACCGACACAGGUGGUCAGGUAGAGAAUACCAAGGCGCUUGAGAGAACUCGGGUGAAGGAACUAGGCAAAAUGGUGCCGUAACUUCGGGAGAAGGCACGCUGAUAUGUAGGUGAAGUCCCUCGCGGAUGGAGCUGAAAUCA
RNAcentral lists this ribosomal RNA (499 nucleotides) under Escherichia coli. RNAcentral describes it as "partial 23S ribosomal RNA". It matches the Rfam family "Bacterial large subunit ribosomal RNA", at positions 1291 to 1785 of the family's 2925-position model. Lineage: Bacteria; Pseudomonadati; Pseudomonadota; Gammaproteobacteria; Enterobacterales; Enterobacteriaceae. The record is from RNAcentral.